RNAcentral lists this ribosomal RNA (627 nucleotides) under Triticum aestivum (bread wheat). RNAcentral's name for it is "partial small subunit ribosomal RNA". The record is from RNAcentral. Lineage: Eukaryota; Viridiplantae; Streptophyta; Magnoliopsida; Poales; Poaceae.
AUGGAGAAUGCAUUGCUGAAGCUUUGGUCAAUGGUUGAAGAGAGCAAGUCUGCUAGGGUGGAUGAUAAUCUUCAAAGUUCUUUAACUAUUCACCAUUUGACAGAAGAAAAUAAGAAGCUGGAUGCACAAUAUGACAAGUUAGUGAAAGAUGUGCAUCAACUUGUGGACUUUCAGCAGGAUAGGGUUGUGGAUUUCAGUUAUCUGCAGUCAGCUGUCACAUAUCAGCAUCAAUGCACAGCUGAAUUGGUGGCUGGUAUGAAUGCAGAAAUGGCAAAGAAAGAUGCAGCUCUAGAGAAGCUUCAACAGAAGUUUGAAAUCCUGUGCAACCUGACAAGUGCUCAAGCAACUGCCAUCCAAAACCUCAAGUUGAAGAAUAUGAAAGAGAAGCAAUUGAGGAUUGAGGCUCAAGAGAAUUUGGAGCUGAAGAAUGCAGAGUUCACAAAGUUUGAGGAGAAGCUCACCCAAGAGAAGCUAGAGUUGAAGUUCCAGGUUGCUGAUCUGCUGAAGCUCAAGGAAAACCAUAAUGAAGAGAAGCAGAUGCAAGAGUUUAAGAUUACUGAGCUCAUGAAGGCAGAGGAGAAGCUGAAGGAGAAGAUCAAGGGGAUCCAGGCCAUCCUGGAGAAAUGA